GUUGAGUGGGAGUAAAGAGCUAACUUGAUUUGAAGUGGGAAUGCCUAUUUAACGGCAUUUGUCCUAAGCUAAAAUGAAGAAAAUGUAUUAAAAAUAAUAUAGUUCCCUACCAAAAACCCUACCAAGGAAAAAUUUUAGUAGGGAAUUUUGU
This is a small RNA of Virgibacillus pantothenticus, 151 nucleotides long. It matches the Rfam family "Listeria sRNA rli38". Lineage: Bacteria; Bacillati; Bacillota; Bacilli; Caryophanales; Bacillaceae. The record is from Rfam.